This 114-nucleotide ribosomal RNA is filed under the name uncultured bacterium. RNAcentral's name for it is "partial 16S ribosomal RNA". It matches the Rfam family "Bacterial small subunit ribosomal RNA", at positions 1360 to 1482 of the family's 1533-position model. The record is from RNAcentral.
CGGUGAAUACGUUCCCGGGCCUUGUACACACCGCCCGUCAAGCGAUGGAAGUUGGGAGUACCUAAAGUCGGUCACCGCAAGGAGCCGCCCAGGGUAAAACCGAUAACUGGCGCU